UGAAGGGACUCUCUUCGAGCUGAUUAAGGGGAAGUGAUCCAGUGUUCCUGGCUAAGGGCUGGGCACCUUUCCUGACUUCCACAGCUGACGCCCCCUUUCUUAGCGUAAGGCAGGUUAGGGCACCAAAGGAUGAAAAGGUUGGAGGGUCGGGAGGUUGGAAGGUUAGAGGCAGGCCAGGUAAUCAGCAUCUCCCGAGAGGAGCCAUGUCUAUUGUAUACCAAGUUUGUGCUUGCACUGUCUCUCCUUUUAGGUGCCACGGACCUGCCUCUCCCUGUGUCCUGUGAGGCACACGGGGAGGGUACAACAGGGAUUGCUGUGCAGCCCAGUCCUGCAGACAUUCUCAGCUGAAACCAUUCUGGCAGAAUCUAGAGUGAGCCUCAUAUUCUGCCACGGGGAGGAGAAGAGUUUCCCAAGCCAAGGCUUUACUGCUAACCUCAGGCAGUGGAACGGUGGGCUGAGAACUCAGGUUCAGCACUUGGCCUACAGGUCCACAACCUCUGUGGAAGGGGAAGUCAGCCUUGCCUCUGAAGGCGGAACUCAGUGACCCUAGGGCCAGGGAGUUAUGGGAGCUCUUACCUUUUUCUCCUGCUUCUUUUCUGCUCGCCUCCGAGGCUUCAUGCAUUCCUUUGCUUGUGCCCAGCCUCACUUUUAGAAAGCAGGUGCUGGCAGAUGAGAUGACCCAGCCAGGUAAAAGGGCUUGCAGCCAAGCCUGACAACUUGAGUUCAAUGCUGGAGACUCAUGUGGUAGAAGGAGAGAGCUGAUUCCCACAAAAUUUGUCCUCCUGUCUUCACAUGCCUGCCAAGGCACACACCCUCUCUCCCUAAACACAUAAAUAAAUAAACAAAUGUAAUAG
This 854-nucleotide long non-coding RNA is filed under the name Rattus norvegicus (Norway rat). Its description in RNAcentral is "long non-coding RNA NONRATT027784". Lineage: Eukaryota; Metazoa; Chordata; Mammalia; Rodentia; Muridae. The record is from RNAcentral.